UACAGAGGGUGCAAGCGUUGUUCGGAAUUACUGGGCGUAAAGCGCGUGUAGGUGGCGAUGUAAGUCGGGUGUGAAAUCCCUCAGCUUAACUGAGGAAGUGCACUCGAUACUGUGUCGCUUGAGUGUUGGAGGGGAUGGCGGAAUUCCCGGUGUAGAGGUGAAAUUCGUAGAUAUCGGGAGGAACACCUGUGGUGUAGACAGCUUACUGGACCAUUUCUGACGCUGAGACACGAAAGCGUGGGUAGCAAACAGG
Molecule: ribosomal RNA, 253 nt
Filed under: uncultured bacterium
Lineage: Bacteria
Description: partial 16S ribosomal RNA
Rfam family: Bacterial small subunit ribosomal RNA
Source: RNAcentral